Long non-coding RNA from Astyanax mexicanus (Mexican tetra), 716 nucleotides. RefSeq lists it as uncharacterized. NCBI's taxonomy places the organism in Eukaryota, Metazoa, Chordata, Actinopteri, Characiformes, Acestrorhamphidae. The record is from RefSeq and is a predicted model, not a curated record. The transcript has 3 exons.
CUCUCAGAGUGAGCUGAUGGUUCUGAGAGUGAGCUGAAAGGUCUCAGAGUGAGCUGUUGGUUCUGAGAGUGAGCUGAAAGGUCUCAGAGUGAGCUGAUGGUUCUGAGAGUGAGCUGAAGGGUCUGAGAGUGAGCUUAAGGGUCUGAGAGUGAGCUGAUGGUUCUGAGAGUGAGCUUAAGGGUCUGAGAGUGAGCUGAUGGUUCUGAGAGUGAGCUGAAGGGUCUCAGAGUGGACUGAUGGUUCUGAGAGUGAGCUUAAGGGUCUGAGAGUGAGCUGAUGGGUCUGAGAGUGAGCUUAAGGGUCUGAGAGUGAGCUGAUGGUUCUGAGAGUGAGCUGAUGGUUCUGAGAGUGAGCUUAAGGGUCUGAGAGUGGACUGAUGGUUCUGAGAGUGAGCUUAAGGGUCUGAGAGUGAGCUGAUGGUUCUGAGAGUGAGCUGAAGGGUCUCAGAGUGGACUGAUGGUUCUGAGAGUGAGCUUAAGGGUCUGAGAGUGAGCUGAUGGUUCUGAGAGUGAGCUGGAGGGUCUCAGAGUGGACUGAUGGUUCUGAGAGUGAGCUGAAGGGUCUGAGAGUGAGCUGAUGGUUCUGAGAGUGAGCUUAAGGGUCUGAGAGUGAGCUUAAGGGUCUGAGAGUGAGCUGAUGGGUCUGAGAGUGAGCUGAAGGGUCUGAGAGUGAGCUUAAGGGUCUGAGAGUGAGCUGAUGGUUCUGAUGUUCUGGUU